Molecule: non-coding RNA, 72 nt
Organism: Triticum aestivum (bread wheat)
Lineage: Eukaryota; Viridiplantae; Streptophyta; Magnoliopsida; Poales; Poaceae
Source: Rfam
GUGGCUGUAGUUCAGUGGUUAGAAUUCCAUGUUGUGGCCGUAGAGACCUGUGCUCGAAUCCCAGCAGCCACA